Molecule: small RNA, 148 nt
Filed under: Pongo abelii (Sumatran orangutan)
Lineage: Eukaryota; Metazoa; Chordata; Mammalia; Primates; Hominidae
Description: Metazoan signal recognition particle RNA (ENSPPYG00000035450.1)
Source: Rfam by way of RNAcentral
GCUGGGUGUGGUGGCGUGCACCUGUAGUCCCAGCUACUCAGGAGGCUGAGGCGGGAGAAUCGCUCAAACCCAGGAGGCAGAGGUUGCAGUGAGCCAAGAUCAUGGCGCUGCACUCUAGCCUGGGCAACAGAGUGAGACUCUGUCUCAU